This 495-nucleotide ribosomal RNA is filed under the name uncultured bacterium. RNAcentral describes it as "bacterial SSU rRNA". It matches the Rfam family "Bacterial small subunit ribosomal RNA", at positions 899 to 1397 of the family's 1533-position model. The record is from RNAcentral.
ACUCAAAUGAAUUGACGGGGGCCCGCACAAGCGGCGGAGCAUGUUGCUUAAUUCGACGCAACGCGAAGAACCUUACCAAGGUUUGACAUGGCCGGAAAACUCGUGGAGACACGGGGUCCUUCGGGGCCGGUCACAGGUGGUGCAUGGCUGUCGUCAGCUCGUGUCGUGAGAUGUUGGGUUAAGUCCCGCAACGAGCGCAACCCUUGUCCUGUGUUGCCAGCAUUUGGUUGGGGACUCAUGGGAGACUGCCGGGGUCAACUCGGAGGAAGGUGGGGAUGACGUCAAGUCAUCAUGCCCCUUAUGCCUUGGGCUGCAAACAUGCUACAAUGGCCGGUACAGAGGGCUGCGACACCGUGAGGUGAAGCGAAUCCCGGAAAGCCGGUCUCAGUUCGGAUCGGGGUCUGCAACCCGACCCCGUGAAGUCGGAGUCGCUAGUAAUCGCGGAUCAGCAUCGCCGCGGUGAAUACGUUCCCGGGCCUUGCACACACCGCCCGU